UGGGGAAUAUUGGACAAUGGGCGAAAGCCUGAUCCAGCCAUGCCGCGUGAGUGACGAAGGUCUUCGGAUUGUAAAGCUCUUUUGGCGGGGACGAUAAUGACGGUACCCGCAGAAUAAGCCCCGGCUAACUUCGUGCCAGCAGCCGCGGUAAUACGAAGGGGGCUAGCGUUGUUCGGAAUUACUGGGCGUAAAGCGCACGUAGGCGGACUCUUAAGUCAGGGGUGAAAUCCCGGGGCUCAACCUCGGAAUUGCCUUUGAUACUGUGAGUCUUGAGACCGGAAGAGGUGAGUGGAAUUCCUAGUGUAGAGGUGAAAUUCGUAGAUAUUAGGAAGAACACCGGUGGCGAAGGCGGCUCACUGGUCCGGUUCUGACGCUGAGGUGCGAAAGCGUGGGGAGUAAACAG
Molecule: ribosomal RNA, 403 nt
Filed under: uncultured bacterium
Lineage: Bacteria
Description: bacterial SSU rRNA
Rfam family: Bacterial small subunit ribosomal RNA
Source: RNAcentral